This 251-nucleotide ribosomal RNA is filed under the name Tricholoma matsutake. Its description in RNAcentral is "5.8S ribosomal RNA". The stretch from base 102 to 251 matches the Rfam family "5.8S ribosomal RNA". From Rfam's summary of the family: 5.8S ribosomal RNA (5.8S rRNA) is a component of the large subunit of the eukaryotic ribosome. It is transcribed by RNA polymerase I as part of the 45S precursor that also contains 18S and 28S rRNA. Functionally, it is thought that 5.8S rRNA may be involved in ribosome translocation. Lineage: Eukaryota; Fungi; Basidiomycota; Agaricomycetes; Agaricales; Tricholomataceae. The record is from RNAcentral.
GCCAGGCUUUCCUUGUAUUUUUCCAGCCUAUGCAUUUUAUUAUACACUCGGUAUGUCAUGGAAUGUUAUUUGGUUGGCUUAAUUGCCAGUAAACCUUAUACAACUUUCAACAACGGAUCUCUUGGCUCUCGCAUCGAUGAAGAACGCAGCGAAAUGCGAUAAGUAAUGUGAAUUGCAGAAUUCAGUGAAUCAUCGAAUCUUUGAACGCACCUUGCGCUCCUUGGUAUUCCGAGGAGCAUGCCUGUUUGAGU